UGGAGCCAAGAAGCAAAGUUCCUCCAUCCACAUCCAUGGAGCCAAGGAGUAAGGUGACAAAGGAAACAAGGCCCUCACAUGGGUGAUUAACCUUUGCUAAGCAAAGAGGUGCUUCAAAGGUAGAAAGUUUCUCAACUCACUUUGUUUUGAGUUAAGUCUUGGUUCACCCUCCUACUAGGCUUUGAAUUUCAUGGGUAAUGUUUUGUUUUGAGUGCAUACAAGCAUGAUUCUGCCUUUAAAUGUUAAUUGCAUGCCAUACAUGUUGCUCAAAUGAACAUGUUUUUCACAAAAUUUCCUUCACAACGGAACCAAAAUUUCAAGCGGUUUCUUGUAAUCAACCCAGACCUGUCACAUAUAAAAUCAAUGCCUAUAUUAUAGGAAUGGUACACUGGGCAAAUCAGGCACUCAGAUAAGCUACGAGGCUCGGGUGAGUGACAAUAAUACAAGUAUGUGAUAUUCAAUAAAACAGACCAUCAAUCACAAUUUAUAAACAUCAAGUAUAGAAUCAUGCUUUAUGAAAUCAUGAUCAAGUCGCUGAAACUCUGAAGAAGUCACCCAGACAUCCAACGCUUUUUCUAAUCUAAACCACAAGAUUCCGAAAAACCAUCGUUCAUAUAUCCAUUAAAAACUAGGGCUAGAGGGACGCAGUUUGGCCAAAGCCUACAUAAGUAACCAAACAUGAAAUGGCCCCCCAAAGUAGAUUAACCAAGCAGAGCCACCCCUAAGAAAGUAACCAAGUAGGUAGUGACCCCCCAAUGCGGAUUAACCAAGGAGGGUCACUCCUACAACUGUUAGAAAGUGAUCACGCAAUGCAGAUUAACCAAGCAUGAUCACUCUGAAGCAUACAUGGCCAUAAGGAUCGCCCAACGUGUAUUAACCAAGCACGAUCCAUAUAUAUAUCAUGGUCCCCCAAAGCGGAUUAACCAAGCAGGACCACUAGUGACCCCCCAAUGCGGAUUAACCGAGCAAAGGCAAGAUAAUCAGGUAGGUAGUGACCCCCUAACGUGGAUUAACCAAGCAGAGUCACACCUACAAAACUAUUAGGCAAUGAUCACCCAAUGCGGAUUAACCAAGCAUGAUCACUCCUCAGUAUAAAUGGCCAUAAGGAUCGCCCAACGCGAAUUAACCAAGCGCAAUCCAUAUAUAGUAUGGUCCCCCAAUGCAGAUUAACCAAGCAGGGUCAUAGUCCUCUACUAGCCCUCAAUUUACAAAACAUUUCAAUAUGCAAUUCGAAUCACUUUUCCUCAAAUUUACCAAUCCAUGAAUCAAAUCACAUUUAAUAGAAAUAGAUCGAUGGCCAAUUAUAAAAAAUCAUAUUUUAACAGAAAACACAUUUAUAAAACCAUGUCAUAUCCACAAAAGAUAUUAAUAUAAAAAUCGGGUAAUCACAAUAUCACAUAUAUUAAAGUCACUCACCGAGACAAGUCCACAAAGCUUCACUGAGUUUCUAGUAAUACUAAUUUUAAUAAUUCAAAUGGUUCAAGAUCUGUUGACCAAAAAUCAUUAAUGGGGUCCACACCCUAGCAAUUAAUCUGGAAGAUCCACACAUCAUAAUCUAGAUCCGUAACUUCCUAAGGUCCACAUUAUGCUCAAAGAAAAACAUACUAAAAUCUAUUGCGAUUCGAUGGUCGAAUCUCCGCCAAUUACUAGAAUUGGGUGGUGGUUAACAAUUAAUUUUACUAACUUCGAAAUCUAAUUCAGCAAGAUCCGUACAUCGGAUUCCCAAUCUGUUAGUUCCAGCUAUCCUCAAAUAUUAUGUUCUACAACACAUUAAAGUUUGGUGACGAUCCAACGGUCGAAUGGUCGAUUCAAAUUUUUAUCAAGUGAUGUAUUAUAAUGAAACUAAGUUCAAACAAUCAAACCACUUCAUACGGAUAUCAAUCAUGAAUUCAAGGAAUCUAAUUGGACUUAGAAAGAUAUCGUCGGCCCACUGGCCAAACGCCACUGCGGGCCGCCCCAACUCGCCAGAAAAUUCGACAAUUUUCAAAAAUUACUAAAUUUUACAGGCAAGUAGGUCUCAAUGAGGGGAACAAGUUUCAUACUUGUGGUGAAGUCCAUUUUGUCUAGGAAAAGCCUCAAAUCGCCAUGAACCCGCCGGAACCCUAGAAUUUGGGUGUCCUCAAUUCCACUCCUUAACAGCUUCGCCGCCCUUAAACUUGUUUAAGCUUUGUUCCAAGUCUCAAGAGGAUGCUAUAGGUAGUGGUGAUCAAAGGAAUUUGUUUCAGAUUUGGUGGAUUGACACCUAUGAACUUGCGCACCCAACACAAUUUCAAGGCCAUUUUUCAUCUAAUUUAUGGUGGAAUAGGUAAAGGGAAGGUCAUGGAACAUUUUUGAGGUGGUUUAGUAACAUAGUUCGCUGGAAAAAUCGACAAAAAACCACUGGAGGAGGUGGAGAAAGCCGGGUCGG
This 2407-nucleotide long non-coding RNA is filed under the name Malus domestica (apple). RNAcentral describes it as "long non-coding RNA (MDOM_LNC012848)". Lineage: Eukaryota; Viridiplantae; Streptophyta; Magnoliopsida; Rosales; Rosaceae. The record is from RNAcentral.